AAAAGUUAAAUAAAAAUUGUUUACAUCCCAAAGACUGAAACAAUUUACAGUCGGCAGUUUCAUAGAACUGUCUGUCUUGAGUUAGACAACGAACUCUCUUUGUGUGAUUCUUUUCUUAUAAGUGUUGGGUCAUUGUUUGGCCUUUAAACCUUCUUUAAUGUGUAUUAAUUCUGAACAGUGACCAUAGCCAGUUUAUAAAUAAAUCAAUAAGUACUCCUCAAGGAAAAGACUGAAAGGAGGCAUUCUUUCCAGGCGAGGCUCUGCCCUGUUAUUCCAUGACAGAUCUCAAUUAGCUUUCUGCUGCCGCCAUGCAUUAGCGAAGUCGGCAGUGGGCACAAAGAACAUGCCCGUAAGUCCAGGGAAGAUUUCCAUUUUGUCUUCAUUUUUGGCGCUGCUGGAACAUUUCAGUCCAGGACACAUAAUCAGUUCGAGUGCAUGAAUAAAACUCUACUAUAUAUAGUAUGAGUGAAUUCCAGGAUGCAAACUAUAUAUAGUUGAGCUAAGAAAACAAGUUCAGUGUCAUGUUACUCAGCUUGGCAAUGUUUAAAACAUUUAACAGUCCUUUCCAGUCGUUCUUUGUUGGACGCUGGUCCUCAUGGUGCCUCCGUGGUGCACCCUGGCUCUCAGCUGGCCUGUUCUCAUAAGUCUCUUUUUGGACUUGGGUCAAGUGGGAGCUGCUUCUGUCUGACUUCCAUGUACCCAGAUGGCUCUAGGUUUUCUAAGCAGAAAGAGCUCAGGACAGCAAUCUGGUUGGGGAAUUGCCUGGAAUCUUUUGGCGGGUAACUUGGAGGGUGUGAUGGAGACUACAGAGGAGACAGGGUUGCAGAGCUCACCCCAGGCUAUGUUUUGGUGCUGCCGCUACCUGUUUACAUACCUGUUUUCUUAUCUUGCAGACACUGCUUAUUCUGGCAGGCACUUGUCCAGCCAGUGAAGCCAAGAUCACUCAACAGAAAGUCUCUGAGUUUUGUCUGAAUUGCCUGUUUCCAUCAGCAGGGCCAUAAGGGGUCCUGUGAGCAUUUAUUUGGAUACUGCAAGUGUCAAAAUGAACCAGAUGGUCCUUGUCCCAAGUUUUUCACAGUCUAGAGGGGAGUGGGGAAAAAGAAAUAUGCAAAAACAAACAAAAAUAAGACAUAUGACUACACCUUAUUGGUGCUUUAUAAAAGUAACAGUGUGGGCCAAGGGGACGUCCAUAUACCUCAGAUCACUCUAUUUGUAUCUCUCUAGUCUAGGACUUCCCGGGUGGCACAGUGGUAAAGAAUCUGCCUGCCAAUGCAGAAGAUGUGGGUUCAAUCCCUGGGUUAGAAAGAUCCCCUAGGGUAGGAAAUGGCAAUCCGCUGCAAUAUCCUUGCCUGGAAAAUCCCAUGGAAAAGGAGCCUGGCAGGUUACAGUCCAUGGGGUCGCAAAGAGACGGACGUGACUGGGCACGCAUGCAUGCUCAAGUCUAGAGCAACUCAUACUUCAUUUUUCCCCCACAUUCAGCUCAUUUCACAGAUAUUUAUUGAGUGUUGACUGCUUAUUGCUGAGGCUGGAGCUGUGUUGCACUUUCAUUCUGGUUUAAGAAUCAGAUAAUAAACAAGUCAACAAAUAAGACACAUAGUAAUAAAUCAAACAGGCUAAGUGUAGCUAGUGACUGGUCAUCCGGGGAGGGAAUGGACAUCAAAGGAGAAAGGUUGCAACCACAGACACCAAGAUCAGGAAAGGCCUUUUAGAAGCGGGCACUCAUGAGCUGAGACCUGAUUGGUAAGAAAUGACCAGCCAUGGGGAGAUCUCAGAGGAGAGCUCUGCUAACAGGUAAAACUGGAAGGCAGGAGAAAGUUUUAGGUGUUUCAGGAGUGGAAAGAAAUCCACAUGACCAGAACGUAGAGUGAAGACGGAGCAUGAGGUCAGAGAAAUCAGCAGGGCCCCAAUCAUGCAGGCUGGAGACCUUGUUUCAAUGUUAUUCUCAUUGCAAUUUAGAGAGGAGGAUAUACUUUUCCAGUGAUCAGAUACGCCCGUUUCUCAUCUAGGGUACUGUCUUCAGCAUCUAAAGAAAACAGUAAAUUAGCUGCUUGGUGAGGACAGAAUUAGAGCAAAAGUAGGGACUUCCUUGGUGGUCCAGUGGUUAAGAAUCCACCUUCUAAUGCAGGAGACUCAGCCUCGAUCCCUGGUCAAGGAAUUAAGAUCCCACAUACCAUGGGAUCAACCAAACCCAUGGACCCCAACCACUGAGCCUGAGUGUCUUAAGAGCUUGUGUUCCACAACAAAAGGAAUCCUUCGACCACAGCUGGAGAAAGCCCACGUGCUGCAAUGAACAAAGAAAUAGUGCAGCCAAAAAAAAAAAAAAAAAAUAGAGCAAAGUUAAAUGAAAGGUCUUGAGGGAUAUUUUACAUAGUUAUCAAAGCGUCCACACCAUUGGAGAUUUUUCCUUGUAAGUGUCAGCAUGUCUGUACCAGAUAGACUACCGUGCCUUGAACAAAUUUUCAUUCCUCAGGUUUCCUUCUCUUUUAGGGUUGAUUGUCCAUCUGUCUGUAUUCUUUAUCACACCACCACCUUUCCUCAUUGCUGUAGCUUUCAACAGAAUGAGGAUUCUCAGUUUGUAGAUAAAAUGUAAUCACCUCAAGAAUCUAAUCAAAGCCUGUUCUACUAUGGACCUUCAUUGGGAGUACGUAGUUAGAUGGUAUCCCAUCCAUGUUUAGUGAAUGAUCACCAACAUCAACCCAGAGAGGGAGAUCUCCCGACUUGGUCUUUUGGUCUGGAGGUGAAUCUUCCUUUCAGAUGUGUCACCUUAGAAUCACUAACCAUAAUGAAGAUGGUUUUGAUGUAAAAAUAGAAUCUUUCCCCAAAGAAUCUGUUCACCUAGCAACUUUAGAACCCAUACAAAACAAGGAGAAUACAGAUUUUUUCUUUGGGGAUCUCAUUUGCUCAUUCAAAUACGUGGAACCCCAAGCAGUACAGUGGGCACAGGGGUAAAACAGGUGCAUGAUGUACUUCUAGCCCCCAAGUCUAUACAGCUUUCAUAUGUAUCUCUGGUCCUUAAAAUGAACAAACUGUCUACUCAUAACCUGUGUACUUCUAACUGCCCCGGAUUUACAGGGUGCGCUCUCCAUGCAACUUACAAAUAUCUGCCUUCAAUUAUCUCCCAAGGACUAACAGCCACCACAGCCUCUGGUUUCUCCUCUCUCCUCCCUGUUCCUUCUUCCUGCCUCCAGAGCCCUAGUUGCUGUUGCCAUGACAACUGAAGUGAAUAAGCCUUGGAAUCUUAUCUCUUACUAUGGGUCCAUCCAUGUUGCUGCAAAUGGCAUGAUUUCAUUCUUUUUUAUGGCUGACUAAUACUUGUACCCAGCCGAUUUCAAGGAUAUGGGCCAUCUUGGAGUUUUGAUGUAACCUCUGCAACGUUUUGUUUUGUUCACUACUACAUUCCUAGUUGCCUAAUAGUGCCCAGUAUAUGGUAUCUCUUAUAAAUGGAACCAUACUUCAAGGAGAUGCAACCAGUCUAUUCUAAAGGAGA
This is a long non-coding RNA of Bubalus bubalis (water buffalo), 3487 nucleotides long. RefSeq lists it as uncharacterized. The record is from RefSeq and is a predicted model, not a curated record. Lineage: Eukaryota; Metazoa; Chordata; Mammalia; Artiodactyla; Bovidae. The transcript is spliced from 4 exons.